GAUGAACGCUGGCGGCGUGCCUAAUACAUGCAAGUCGAGCGAACGGACGAGAAGCUUGCUUUUCUGAUGUUAGCGGCGGACGGGUGAGUAACACGUGGAUAACCUACCUAUAAGACUGGGAUAACUUCGGGAAACCGGAGCUAAUACCGGAUAAUAUUUUGAACCGCAUGGUUCAAAAGUGAAAGACGGUCUUGCUGUCACUUAUAGAUGGAUCCGCGCUGCAUUAGCUAGUUGGUAAGGUAACGGCUUACCAAGGCAACGAUGCAUAGCCGACCUGAGAGGGUGAUCGGCCACACUGGAACUGAGACACGGUCCAGGCUCCUACGGGAGGCAGCAGUAGGGAAUCUUCCGCAAUGGGCGAAAGCCUGACGGAGCAACGCCGCGUGAGUGAUGAAGGUCUUCGGAUCGUAAAACUCUGUUAUUAGGGAAGAACAUAUGUGUAAGUAACUGUGCACAUCUUGACGGUACCAAAUCAGAAAGCCACGGCUAACUACGUG
This 497-nucleotide ribosomal RNA is filed under the name uncultured bacterium. Its description in RNAcentral is "partial 16S ribosomal RNA". It matches the Rfam family "Bacterial small subunit ribosomal RNA", at positions 28 to 507 of the family's 1533-position model. The record is from RNAcentral.